This 406-nucleotide long non-coding RNA is filed under the name Sus scrofa (pig). RNAcentral describes it as "lncRNA (ENSSSCG00005008398.1, ENSSSCG00025052695.1, ENSSSCG00065065245.1)". Lineage: Eukaryota; Metazoa; Chordata; Mammalia; Artiodactyla; Suidae. The record is from RNAcentral.
AAAUUACCUUGGGAAGAAAAAGGUAGGAGAGAAAAAAGCUCAAAGAUGGCAUUGGGCCUCAUUUUGUGAGGACACUCAAUCUUAAUUUAGAGAAAAAGAGAAGAGACUUUUUAUUGAGUGUAAGAAGCAUGAGAACUGGAAAGAACAGAUUUUUCAGACAAGCCUAGUUUUGUAAGUUUAAAGGAGAAUCAUGCUUGUGUUUCGAUGCAGGUGGGACUGUCGAUCAGGUGUAUGUGUUUGUGUGUCUGUUUGUGUCUAUAAAUCCACACCCAUUUUUCACCAGAAACAUCCAGGAAUACACUUCUGGCAAGAGCAUGGACUAGUUCAGGAUGGGGACAUGACAUCACUUGGGUGCAGACAUAUGAGGAAGGUCUCUUUCAUAUUCAAAAAAGUAACAAGCCAUUGA